Long non-coding RNA from Alligator sinensis (Chinese alligator), 230 nucleotides. RefSeq lists it as uncharacterized. The record is from RefSeq and is a predicted model, not a curated record. The transcript is spliced from 3 exons. Lineage: Eukaryota; Metazoa; Chordata; Crocodylia; Alligatoridae.
UGCUGGCAGGCCAGGUAGAAACACAGCUUGGCUUCAUGCAGCAUCCUGGAGGAACAAGACCAAAUCCUUAAUAUAAUUGCUCCAGGGCUGAAUUUAGCCACCAGCUACUGAAGAGAGCUGCAGGAAGCCACCCGCCCGUCUUUCCAAACCACAGGCUCAUGUGGGUUAUGAUAUGAUUUCCUCUGUCUUAUGUUUUUCGAAAAAAAGAAAGAAACCCAGAAGUGUCUACA